Molecule: long non-coding RNA, 1621 nt
Organism: Helianthus annuus (common sunflower)
Lineage: Eukaryota; Viridiplantae; Streptophyta; Magnoliopsida; Asterales; Asteraceae
Exons: 7
Source: RefSeq, a predicted model, not a curated record
UCCACACCAAUAUGGGAAAAGUGUUUUACCAUAUGAGACUAUCAUUCACACACCCAAAUUCCAAUAGGUUUCUUCAUCUUUGAUUGAAUCUCUUCUCUGAUUCUGAUAAUCAACUGUCGCCAUCUCCAAGUGUUGUUGCAAAUUCGAAGAUUAUUUAUAAUGUCUUGGAAAAACAGAGGAGUUUCAGAAUCGAACUAAAGACUUUUGGUGUCAAAGCAACUGACCCCAUUGUUGUGUGUCGUUUGCUUCUUUUCCAGAUUGCUCUUCAACGACAGAUCUGGAUCUGUUUCGUAUCUAGGGUUUUAUCGUCUUCUAGCACAGAUCUUCAAAGUUGAUCUAAUGGCUUCAUCAACAAGGUCAAUCUACCUGCUGGAUUCAAGCGCAAAGUCACUAAUAAAUGAGUUUUAAGAAGGAUUGUUAAUAUGGCAGCCCACCGAAAUACAGUUAGACUUACAUAUUAAAAGAUCUAUCUAGGCGUCUUGCGGAACUUUAAGCCUGCGGGUAAUGGAAGAUGCUGGUAUGAGGUCUGAUUACUCUAUAUAUUUUUUCCAUAAAGCUCUACAUACUAGCUGAUGGUGGCACUAUUAUGUGUUUAUAAGUUAUAACUAUAUCUAUAUAUAUGAUAUCAGUGUUUUGUCUUUGUGAAUUUAACUGUUAAAGCCAUAUAGUUCAUGCCUAUUGAAGCUUGCUUUUUGCUCUGAGUUGGAUCAUGUUAACACAAAAUUGAUUUUUAUGUGUUCUAAGUGUUGGAAGUAAGAAGUGUUCAUAUGCAUUGCAAAAAUUUUCUGCCAUUCUUUGUUCUAUAAUGCAUAGAUCACAUGAUGCAGAGAUAUGAUCACAUCGCACGAGAAACAAGAAUUGAGAGAUACAAUAUGUUGGUCUUCCAAACCAUCAUGGACGCUCAUUACACUUCUCACAGGUUGCUUUGCAAGUGAAUAAAGAUCUUAGUGACCAAAUUGGAUUGAUAACCCAGUAUGUUGAUUAUAGGAAAUCAACGUGUGGAAUCGUCAAGCAAGAUAACAACAAUACCCAAGAAAAAGGAUUGAACUGGGGUGUAAUCUAUACAUGACACUGAUUAAUGGAUCUUGAAAGCAAGAAUUUUUAAAGAAGGUAAUUGUGAAAUUCUGAUACGUUCCUUUGCCUCCGUAUUGUACAUUUGACUAAAAGACCUAUGUAAUUUAAUAUAACAUUUAUGCUACUUUAUUUUAUUCACUUCAUGGUAAUGUGGGCAUGUGGCCAAAUAUGUGGGUUGGGUUAUGGCUCAAAACAUAUAAUCUUGCGUAGGUCAAAACAUGAUGGUGGACCAAACUAACUUUCGUCCAAUAAUGCGUUGUUAUCAAAGUAAAGUGUCUGUUCGCCCAUGCUCACAUAUUGGUGGCCAUAAUUAUGCUGGAAAUGUGAUCGAAACUCCUAAACUCCUGGGUCAUUGGCAAAGUACCUUACAUUGAUUUAUUUAUACUCAAUUUAAAAUGUAAAAUUGUUUAUACAAAAAAUAAGUUGUAAUUUGUAGAUUGCCUUCGGAGGUAAUUAUGAAUUGUUUAAUGUCUUUUCGAGUUGCGAUUAGAUUUAGUUUUCGUUAGGCGAACAGAGAUUCUAUGAGUAAUCAUUCAGUUGUAUGCUA